GAUGAACGCUGACAGAAUGCUUAACACAUGCAAGUCGAUGGGGAAGUGGUGCUUGCACCAUGGCAACCAUGGCGGACGGGUGAGUAACGCGUAAGGGACUUACCUGCAGGACUGGGAUAACAGGGGGAAACUCCUGACAAGACCGGAUAAUGUCAUGGAGCUGCAUGGCUUUAUGAUGAAAGGAGACGCCUGCGGAGAGCCUUGCGUCCUAUUAGCUAGUUGGUGAGGUAAUGGCUCACCAAGGCGAAGAUAGGUAGCCGGCCUGAGAGGGUGGACGGCCACAAGGCGACUGAGAUGCGGCACUUACGACUACGGGAGGAAGCAGUGGGGAAUAUUGGAGGAUGGGGGCAACCCUGAUGAAGCAAUUCUGUGUGCACAGAGAAGGUUUUCGGAUUGUAAAGAGCUUUCAGCAGGGAAGAAGUAAGUGACGGUACCUGCAGAAGAAGCGACGGCUAAAUACGUG
This 463-nucleotide ribosomal RNA is filed under the name uncultured bacterium. RNAcentral describes it as "partial 16S ribosomal RNA". It matches the Rfam family "Bacterial small subunit ribosomal RNA", at positions 28 to 507 of the family's 1533-position model. The record is from RNAcentral.